GGUAAAAUGGCUGAGUUAGGCAAUAAAUUGUAAAUUUAUUUACGAAAAAUAUUUCUUUUAUCA
Molecule: transfer RNA, 63 nt
Filed under: Platisus zelandicus
Lineage: Eukaryota; Metazoa; Arthropoda; Insecta; Coleoptera; Cucujidae
Description: tRNA-Tyr
Source: RNAcentral